Molecule: transfer RNA, 75 nt
Filed under: Acidobacteriota bacterium
Lineage: Bacteria; Pseudomonadati; Acidobacteriota
Description: Acidobacteria bacterium (activated sludge metagenome) tRNA-Phe
Rfam family: tRNA
About the family: Transfer RNA (tRNA) molecules are approximately 80 nucleotides in length. Their secondary structure includes four short double-helical elements and three loops (D, anti-codon, and T loops). Further hydrogen bonds mediate the characteristic L-shaped molecular structure. tRNAs have two regions of fundamental functional importance: the anti-codon, which is responsible for specific mRNA codon recognition, and the 3' end, to which the tRNAs corresponding amino acid is attached (by aminoacyl-tRNA synthetases). tRNAs cope with the degeneracy of the genetic code in two manners: having more than one tRNA (with a specific anti-codon) for a particular amino acid; and 'wobble' base-pairing, i.e. permitting non-standard base-pairing at the 3rd anti-codon position.
Source: RNAcentral
GGCUGGAUAGCUGAGAUGGAUUAGCAUCUGUCUGAAAAGCAGAACAGGUGGGUUCGAUUCCCACGCCAGCCACCA